Molecule: long non-coding RNA, 1844 nt
Organism: Cavia porcellus (domestic guinea pig)
Lineage: Eukaryota; Metazoa; Chordata; Mammalia; Rodentia; Caviidae
Exons: 6
Source: RefSeq, a predicted model, not a curated record
ACUAAGAAACCUACUUAUUUUAACCCCAACAUCAAUAUUCCUGGUGCUUUCCCAGUCGUUUACGGACAUAUGCCAAUGAUAAAAAAAACACUGCACUUUUUCAGCUGAGGCAGAAUACACCAAUGAUCUGCCUUUUUGUUUCAGUUCUCAUACUGUAAACAAGGACCCUUUAAUCCAGUUUUUGAGUUCUUAUGCUUUUUUAUUGGUGAUUUUGCUAUUUAACAUGGGUUCCAAGCUAAAGUGAUAUGCCUUAUACAGAAAAUACAUUUGUUAGACAAAACUUCGUCCAGGUAUGAGUUACAGUACUCUUCAUUUGAGUUCCCACAUGAAGGAAACAUCACCACCACCACCACUAUCAUCAUCAUCUUUUCAUUUUUUUGAGACAGGGCUCGCUAUGUAGCCCAGGCUAGCCUUGAACGUGCAGUGAUCCUUCUGCCUCAGCCUCCUGAGUGCUGGGACUACAGGGAGUGUGCCACCAUGCCUGGCAGCAAAAGUACUAUUAAUUAAAGACUUCAAACAAAAAUUAACAUCAAACACGGUUAUAUAUUGUGACUAAUAGGAACCUAACCCUGUGCUUUUCCAAUGAGCAAUGAUUAAGUAUUCUGUUUAUGGCAACUUCAGAACAAAACUACCAUGAGUAGCAAGCACUGACAGUAACAUUUGUCCAAUAUAUCAUGUGAGUGCACUUAUACAGUCAGUACCAGCUUGAUUCCUAUUUCACCUCCUCAUGUGCCUUCUAUGUACUGUCCACCAGCUGACUACGCAACCACAGUUAUAUACUUGAUAGGUUCCAAGGAUGUGCUGUGUCUUGGGCAUAAGAUUGGGAGGAGGAAGUAAGAUGCUUGCCUUCACCUUGCGGAAGUUUCUGGUGUUGAAUAAGCUAUGUGACUUAAAAGUUUUUCCUAGCACUAGAAUUCUAGGACUCAAUUAAAUUUAGAAAACUCAGGACACAAGCAGAACCCCAAUUUUUUCAUAAGGUUCUGGGAUAUCUGAGUAUACAGGAGACUAAAUUUGGGGAGAUUAGACAGUUACAGAGAACUGUGCCUUUUAGAGGAGAAAUGGAGCUUUGGGACCAAAGGACAUCUGUCUAGGAAGUUGUAAGAUCUAAAAUGUCUCCCUGAAGUCAUCUGUUCAGAGAUGGGGCCUUCAGAAGAUGAUUCAGCCAUGAGGACUGUAACUUGAAGACAUCUCUCAAGUUGGAAAUAUUUUGGAAGACGGUGACGUAACAACCAAUACGACUAUUAAGAAGUAAACAAGAGACACACACAGGUUGAAAGUCCCUCUGGCUGGAAGCCAGGUUGACGGCCACAAGGGCACAGACAGUCUCAGAGGAGUUGAAAGCUCUGUCAGACUGAGAGAAGUGGGCCUACACUUCAACAAGUGAGCACCAAGAGAACAUUGAGAAACGAUCAGCAAAGAGUGCGAUGGACUGAGAGGUCUGAAUCCAGGAAAAGUCAGCAAAGCCAAUGGACUGACAGGUGCUAAGGAUGGAACCCAGGCCUUGCACAUGCUAGGGUUUUACUCAGUUGCUAAGUUGCCAUUGCUGGGUGUGAAUCUGUGGUCCUCCUACCUCAGCCUCUCAGAGUGCUGGAAUUAUACCUGUGCACCACUACACUCAGAUUGAACUCACGACCUCGCACUUGCCAGACAGGGUCUUACAGGCGCUGAGCUAAACCCCUGGCCUUUGCCUGAAUAAUCCUACAUUAAUGGGUCGAAAGAGUGGUAUGUCUUGAAGACACAGGGGCUUAGUGUUUGCGUUCUUCCCAGAUCUUGCCUUAUAUGCUCCUUCAUUUGGCUGGUCUUGGUUUGUAUCCUUUAUAAUAAAAGCAUAAUGAUAAACAACA